Acanthosepion pharaonis is the source of this 95-nucleotide non-coding RNA. The record is from the annotation of a GenBank genome assembly. NCBI's taxonomy places the organism in Eukaryota, Metazoa, Mollusca, Cephalopoda, Sepiida, Sepiidae.
CGUUGAAACACUGGUUCGUGUACGAUCACCGAAGUUAAGCAACAUCGAGUCUGAUCAGUUCCUAGAUGGGUGACCGCUUGGGAAGACCAAGUGCU